Molecule: long non-coding RNA, 1436 nt
Filed under: Felis catus (domestic cat)
Lineage: Eukaryota; Metazoa; Chordata; Mammalia; Carnivora; Felidae
Description: lncRNA (ENSFCAG00000046965.1)
Source: RNAcentral
GUCCCCGCGAGCUCUACCUGCCUGCCGACGCUGCGGGCCGGGGGUGUGAUGGUUGGUGAGGGUGAGGGUGCGGGACAGGUAGUCCCAGAUCCCCCCUCUAACUCUUUUUGAACCCAGCCCCCCUGCUACUGUGCUCCCCUUCCCCGCGUCCUUUCCCGCGUCGCCCCGCGUUCCCCGCGGUGACCCCGCAGGGCAGCCUAGAGCUGAGUUUACCGCACCCUCAGGGUUGGAGUCGAGACCUAGGGCACCAGGCCUAAGGACCCUCGACCUGCGUUGGGGCCCAGCGAGGCCGCUACGACCACCUAGAGGCAGGGAAGGGGACUAGCCCUCGCCAGCGUCACGCCAAGGGACCCCGGCAGAGUGGGGAGGACCCUGCACCCAGGAGCUGAACUGGUCCGAGGCCAGGAUCGCCAAUGCGAGGGCCGUGGCGGGAGGGGGCAAACGGGAAGCCAGCUCACAUCAUGUUUCCCAGAUGCCAGGAUUUGUCUGGCGGUUGUCCUCCAGGAGAGGAAAGUGGAGUCAUGGAGCCUCUCACAGGAGCACACGGAUCCACUCAGAAAUCCCUCCGUGUGCUGCCUGAGUGCUGCCGGAAGCUCGGACCAGCCACUGGGGGACCAGGCUCCAGGGUGUCCUGAGGUUGCCCAGGUGGAUGGCAGAAGUGUUGCAAAGCCGACACCAUCAGCAAGGGGUCCAGAAUCGAGAGCCGGCCGAAGCUUCAGAUGGCUUCGGCACCCCUUUGUCUUUCCCUGGCCUGCUUUAGAGACACCGUCGCUGCUAAGGCGGUUACCUCAACCUCCCACCGCGACCAAGGUAGGACUCUGGUUUGCUCACCGUGGUCCAGACACCUGCGUGCUCACCUGCAGGCCAGGCACCUGCAGGCGGAAAAGCACUGAGGGCGGAACAGGCCACAGGGUGGGAGCACCGCCUUGAGGAGCUCAGAGGCCCAGAGGGAGGGUCUGAGCGAAAGUGUGUGCACGAACCCUGACAGGGACAAGCUGGGGGUGGAGAGUUGGGAGCCCCUCUCUGGGAGCCGACCGGACCAGAAACCCCCACUCACCUGCCCACCACAGCUGCCAACACACCUGGCCUCCUGCCUGGCACUAUUCAUGGGUGGGUGACUACGGGCCCGUCACCCACAGGCACAACACUCCUAUCCGGACUCCAAUCCUCUGGUGCCCGGGAGCUGGGCUCAGGCUAUGGGAGGGGUCCAGCAGGCUGGGUGGAGACCGUGGGGACCAUGCCGGCCCUCCCUUCCCAGAGGAGCCUUCCCGGGGAGGGGGGCUGCCCUCCCUCUCCCGGAGGCCACGGCUGGCUAGGCUCCGUGGGGGUCCACGAGCUGGGCCUCCACAGAGCUCCCACCAGAGCCAUCCCCAGGAGAGUGCAGGGGAGCCCUUGGGGGCUCAGCACCGGGGCAGCUGUUCCAGGGGACCGGGCCA